AAGUCGUAACAAGGUUCCGUAGGUGAACCUGCGGAAGACACGUAUCCAACGUUAAACCCCCCUGUAAACCACACUGGCCGGAAUUGCAGUAAAUAGGAUUCAGUUAGAUCGCGAUCGAUGUAAGGAUAACGCUUUUCGAUCACUAGAGGUGCCGGCCGGUGACCAGGCUUUCCACCCACUACCUUUUAAGCCGCCUCGUAGGAAACAUCAAAACGAACAACUGUUAACAAUGGAUAUCUUGGUUCUC
RNAcentral lists this unclassified non-coding RNA (247 nucleotides) under fungal sp. Its description in RNAcentral is "partial internal transcribed spacer region". Lineage: Eukaryota; Fungi. The record is from RNAcentral.